This 495-nucleotide ribosomal RNA is filed under the name uncultured bacterium. Its description in RNAcentral is "partial 16S ribosomal RNA". It matches the Rfam family "Bacterial small subunit ribosomal RNA", at positions 28 to 507 of the family's 1533-position model. The record is from RNAcentral.
GACGAACGCUGGCGGCGUGCCUAAUACAUGCAAGUAGAACGCUGAAGGAGGAGCUUGCUUCUCUGGAUGAGUUGCGAACGGGUGAGUAACGCGUAGGUAACCUGCCUGGUAGCGGGGGAUAACUAUUGGAAACGAUAGCUAAUACCGCAUAAUAGUAGAUGUUGCAUGACAUUUGCUUAAAAGGUGCAAUUGCAUCACUACCAGAUGGACCUGCGUUGUAUUAGCUAGUUGGUGGGGUAACGGCUCACCAAGGCGACGAUACAUAGCCGACCUGAGAGGGUGAUCGGCCACACUGGGACUGAGACACGGCCCAGACUCCUACGGGAGGCAGCAGUAGGGAAUCUUCGGCAAUGGACGGAAGUCUGACCGAGCAACGCCGCGUGAGUGAAGAAGGUUUUCGGAUCGUAAAGCUCUGUUGUAAGAGAAGAACGAGUGUGAGGGUGGAAAGUUCACACUGUGACGGUAUCUUACCAGAAAGGGACGGCUAACUACGUG